Molecule: ribosomal RNA, 681 nt
Filed under: Trichoderma koningii
Lineage: Eukaryota; Fungi; Ascomycota; Sordariomycetes; Hypocreales; Hypocreaceae
Description: eukaryotic LSU rRNA
Rfam family: 5.8S ribosomal RNA (bases 261-421)
Source: RNAcentral
AUUAGAAGUCGUAACAAAAGGUCUUUUUUGCUUUGAACCAGCGGAGGGAUAAUUACCGAGUUUACAACUCCCAAAACCCCAAUGUAAAACCAUACCAAACUGUUGCCUCGGCGGGGUCACUCCCCGGGUGGAUCGCAGCCCCGGAACCAGGCGCCCGCCGGAGGGAUCCCAACCAAUCCAAACUCUUUCUUUCGUAGUCCCCUCGCGGACGUUAUUUCUUACAGCUCUGAGCAAAAAUCGGCGAUCUCAAAAUGAAUCAAAACUUUCAAACAACGAAUCUCUUUUCGGGUUUUGGCACUGAUGAACAACGCAGCGAAAUGCGAUAAGUAAUGUGAAUUAAAGAAUUCAGUGAAUCAUCGAAUCUUUGAACGCAAAUUGCGCCCCCCAGUAUUUUUUGGCGGGCAUGCCUGUCCAUGCGUCAUUUCAACAGAGACCUCGAACCCCUCCGGGGGGUCGGCGUUGGGGGAUGAUCGGGAACCCCUAAGACGGGAUCCCGGCCCCGAAAUACAGUGGCGGUCUCGCCGCAUCCUCUCAUCCUAGGGGUGCUUUGCGGACAACUCGCACCGGGAGCGCGGAAAUUCCACGUCCGUAAAACACCCAACAUAUAUUCUGAACUGUUGACCUCGGUUCGAUCUAACAGGAAACCCUUACCCGCUGAACUUAAGCAUAUCAAUAAGCGGG